GACGAACGCUGGCGGCGUGCUUAACACAUGCAAGUCGAACGGAAAGGCCCUGCUUUUGUGGGGUGCUCGAGUGGCGAACGGGUGAGUAACACGUGAGUAACCUGCCCUUGACUUUGGGAUAACUUCAGGAAACUGGGGCUAAUACCGGAUAGGAGCUCCUGCUGCAUGGUGGGGGUUGGAAAGUUUCGGCGGUUGGGGAUGGACUCGCGGCUUAUCAGCUUGUUGGUGGGGUAGUGGCUUACCCAGGCUUUGACGGGUAGCCGGCCUGAGAGGGUGACCGGCCACAUUGGGACUGAGAUACGGCCCAGACUCCUACGGUAGGCAGCAGUGGGGAAUAUUGCACAAUGGGCGGAAGCCUGAUGCAGCAACGCCGCGUGCGGGAAGACGGCCUUCGGGUUGUAAACCGCUUUCGCCUGUGACGAAGCGUGAGUGACGGUAAUGGGUAAAGAAGCACCGGCUAACUACGUG
RNAcentral lists this ribosomal RNA (468 nucleotides) under uncultured bacterium. RNAcentral describes it as "partial 16S ribosomal RNA". It matches the Rfam family "Bacterial small subunit ribosomal RNA", at positions 28 to 507 of the family's 1533-position model. The record is from RNAcentral.